AAUUGGCGUGAUCUCUUGAAAACGGGUAAAACGCGCCUACUUCGAUCCAACGGUUGCAGAGUUCUUCUGUUGGUUGUGGGUAGAAUCCACAAAUGUCUGAACCAACCAUGGGAACUCCAAAUAUACCGAAGUUCAACAUAGUU
This 143-nucleotide small RNA is filed under the name Arabidopsis thaliana (thale cress). RNAcentral's name for it is "ATSL068520". The record is from RNAcentral. Lineage: Eukaryota; Viridiplantae; Streptophyta; Magnoliopsida; Brassicales; Brassicaceae.